RNAcentral lists this long non-coding RNA (1328 nucleotides) under Felis catus (domestic cat). RNAcentral's name for it is "lncRNA (ENSFCAG00000048638.1)". The record is from RNAcentral. Lineage: Eukaryota; Metazoa; Chordata; Mammalia; Carnivora; Felidae.
GUUUCGAGCCCCUGUCUGGACACGUCUCGUCCGUCUGAAUGAUCUCGGAGCCCCAGUUCGGUCAGGUCAACAAGCCUUACCCGAGGGGUUUCCAAGUGGCCGGCAGUGAGCCCUGGCACGGACUCCCAGGAGACUGCUGCGUGUGUUUUAUUGGCAAGAACCGUAGGACCCAGCCAUCCCCAGCUGCCUGCACGGCCGCCCUGAACAAAACCAGGAUUCUGGUGGCGAGGAAGAGAGGGCAAAGGAUCACGGGAACCGGAAGUGUGUGCUACGGCGGGCGCCUGUCCCCGCUGCACUCGGAGUAUCCAAAUGGGGCUGGUAAUUCAUGCCCCAGAUGUGUGACGUAUUAUUCUCAAUUUUCUUUUGGUUCUGCAGUUCUGUAAGCCCUAGUCUCUCCAGCUGCUAUUUUUUAAAUGUGUUGAGAGAGAGAGAGAGAGAGAGAGAGAGAGAGAGAGAGAGAGAGAGAGAGAGAGAGAAGAGAGAGAGAGAGAGAGAGAGAGAGAAUCCCAAGCAGGCUCUGCACUGUCAGCACAGAGUCCAAUGCGGGGUUUGACCCCACGCGCUGUGAGAUCACGACCUGAGCCAAAAUCAAGAGGAGGAUGCUUAACUGACUGAGCCACCCAGGUGCCCCUCCAACAGCUAUUUUCUUGAGCACCUCCUGGGUGUCAGGGAUGCAGACUGAACAAAACAGGUGGGGCCUGCUGUCACAGAGCAGGGGAAGGACCCCGAAGGAGACCAACAAAGACGCGAUCAUAGCGACAAGGGGGGCUUGAUGGACUCACUUACAGCUGUCAGAGACCACCCCCUUCUGUUUUCCGAGCCUCAGCUGGCCCAUCUCUAAAAUGGGGAAGGUGCUAUCGAUCAAACGUCUGGGCGCCCCCGCAGCUCCAAAUUCAUACGUUGAAACUUAACCCCCAAUUAGGGGUUAGUGGUGGCAAAGGCCCUUGGGAGGUGAUUCGGUCAUGAGGUGGAGCCUCGUGGGUGGAAUCAGGGCUCUUGUAUAUCAAGGGGACCCCAAGAGCACCCCGGUCCCUUCUGCCACGUGAGGACACAGCGGGAAAACGUCUGUCUAUGAAGCAGGAAGUGAGUCCUGACCAGACAUCAAAUCUGCCAGCACCUUGAUCUUGGACUCCCCAGCCUCCAGAGCCGUGAGGGAUACAAUGCCCAGCCCGUGGUAUCUUGUUAGGGAGGCCUGAGCUGACUCAGACAGGAACGGUAGGUGAUUUCUAAGAACCUCUGCCGCCCUAAACGCUGACACGCUAAGCCAGACAAUUUCCCCCUCAAGAUGGAGACGGAUGGAAGAGAACCAAAUUUUCUUUCUCUCCUAC